UACGAAGGGGGCUAGCGUUGCUCGGAAUCACUGGGCGUAAAGGGUGCGUAGGCGGGUCUUUAAGUCAGGGGUGAAAUCCUGGAGCUCAACUCCAGAACUGCCUUUGAUACUGAGGAUCUUGAGUUCGGGAGAGGUGAGUGGAACUGCGAGUGUAGAGGUGAAAUUCGUAGAUAUUCGCAAGAACACCAGUGGCGAAGGCGGCCCACUGGCCCGGUACUGACGCUGAGGUGCGAAAGCGUGGGGAGCAAACAGG
This 253-nucleotide ribosomal RNA is filed under the name uncultured bacterium. Its description in RNAcentral is "partial 16S ribosomal RNA". It matches the Rfam family "Bacterial small subunit ribosomal RNA", at positions 524 to 776 of the family's 1533-position model. The record is from RNAcentral.